Molecule: transfer RNA, 66 nt
Filed under: Fieberiella septentrionalis
Lineage: Eukaryota; Metazoa; Arthropoda; Insecta; Hemiptera; Cicadellidae
Description: tRNA-Ser
Rfam family: tRNA
About the family: Transfer RNA (tRNA) molecules are approximately 80 nucleotides in length.
Source: RNAcentral
AGUUAAUUAGCUUAUUAUAUUAAAGCAUUUACCUUGAAAGUAAAAGAAAGAGGAAUUUAUUAACUU